AUAGACCCUCACGAGCCUUCAUCCUGACCAACAAUAUUCAAAGUUCAAAUUUGUUUGACAACAUAAAUUAAGGUUCACUAUUAUUCCAAAAUUUGCAAUAGAUUAAAGUGGGUAAGGUAUAAUUAUGCAAACAUUGACUAAUAAAAACCAAUGGAACAUUACCAUCUCUCAAUUGCUUAGCUACAUACCAGUUCACAUUGCCUCUAAGAGUAUUAAUUUCACCAUUAUGGCCCAAGACACGCAUA
RNAcentral lists this unclassified non-coding RNA (245 nucleotides) under Hevea brasiliensis (rubber tree). The record is from RNAcentral. Lineage: Eukaryota; Viridiplantae; Streptophyta; Magnoliopsida; Malpighiales; Euphorbiaceae.